GUAUCUCUGAGAUUAAAAACAAAUAAUCAAAACUUUCAACAACGGAUCUCUUGGUUCUGGCAUCGAUGAAGAACGCAGCGAAAUGCGAUAAGUAAUGUGAAUUGCAGAAUUCAGUGAAUCAUCGAAUCUUUGAACGCACAUUGCGCCCGCCGGUAUUC
This 158-nucleotide ribosomal RNA is filed under the name fungal sp. CC10. Its description in RNAcentral is "5.8S ribosomal RNA". The stretch from base 31 to 158 matches the Rfam family "5.8S ribosomal RNA", at positions 1 to 128 of the family's 154-position model. Rfam says of the family: 5.8S ribosomal RNA (5.8S rRNA) is a component of the large subunit of the eukaryotic ribosome. Lineage: Eukaryota; Fungi. The record is from RNAcentral.